AACCUUAUGGACCUGCGGGCGUAUACCUGCGGAAGGAUCAUUAUCAAAACAGCGGCCUUCGGGCCUUGCUGCACCCUUGUCUUUUGCGCACCGUAUUGUUUCCUCGGCGGGCUUGCCUGCCGGUUGGACAUUAUCAAACCUUUUUGUAGUUGCAAUCAGCGUCAGAAAAACAAUAAUUAUUACAACUUUUAACAACGGAUCU
This 202-nucleotide unclassified non-coding RNA is filed under the name soil metagenome. RNAcentral's name for it is "partial contains 5.8S ribosomal RNA, internal transcribed spacer 2, and large subunit ribosomal RNA". The record is from RNAcentral.